Molecule: non-coding RNA, 101 nt
Organism: Oryza nivara
Lineage: Eukaryota; Viridiplantae; Streptophyta; Magnoliopsida; Poales; Poaceae
Source: Rfam
AUCCCAUGAUGAGGACAUGCGGCGACAUAUUCCUACAGCCUUUCCCAUGCUUCAGGAAUGGUCCUAUCGGGAAGAACUUGGAGAGUAACGCAUUUGAGCAU